Molecule: ribosomal RNA, 254 nt
Filed under: uncultured bacterium
Lineage: Bacteria
Description: partial 16S ribosomal RNA
Rfam family: Bacterial small subunit ribosomal RNA
Source: RNAcentral
UACGUAGGGGGCAAGCGUUGUCCGGAUUUAUUGGGCGUAGAAGGCUUGUAGGUGGCCACGCCAAGUCGGAUGUGAAAUCUCCCGGCUCAACUGGGAGGGGUCAUUCGAUACUGGCGGGCUCGAGGCCGGUAGGGGGAAGUGGAAUUCCCGGUGUAGUGGUGGAAUGCGUAGAUAUCGGGAGGAACACCAGUGGCGAAGGCGGCUUCCUGGACCGGUUCUGACACUGAGGAGCGAAAGCUAGGGGAGCAAACGGG